RNAcentral lists this ribosomal RNA (253 nucleotides) under uncultured bacterium. RNAcentral's name for it is "partial 16S ribosomal RNA". It matches the Rfam family "Bacterial small subunit ribosomal RNA", at positions 524 to 776 of the family's 1533-position model. The record is from RNAcentral.
UACAGAGGUCUCAAGCGUUGUUCGGAUUCAUUGGGCGUAAAGGGUGCGUAGGCGGCGCGGUAAGUCGGGUGUGAAAUCUCGGAGCUUAACUCCGAAACUGCAUUCGAUACUGCCGUGCUUGAGGACUGGAGAGGAGACUGGAAUUUACGGUGUAGCGGUGAAAUGCGUAGAUAUCAUGAGGAAUACCAGAGGCGAAGGCGGCUACCUGGACAAUUGCUGACGCUCAGGCACGAAAGCGUGGGGAGCAAAAGGG